RNAcentral lists this long non-coding RNA (915 nucleotides) under Hordeum vulgare. Its description in RNAcentral is "long non-coding RNA (HVUL_LNC013476)". The record is from RNAcentral. Lineage: Eukaryota; Viridiplantae; Streptophyta; Magnoliopsida; Poales; Poaceae.
UGCAAGUUAAUUUGGCAUUAGGUGUGGAGGAACUCUCGUGGUCUAUUUUUCUAUGUAGUUUUAUCUCUUUAAUUUUAUGUGUGUGUUUGAUGGUGAUGACAUUAUGAGUCUUGACUUUGAAGACAAUGUCGCACAAAAUGAGAUGCAUGGAUAUAUGUUUGACCAUGUUCGAAACGACAAUAGAUUAUGACAAUAAGGAUUAUAAAAAUAAAUUACAUAAUCUGGUUUAUAAAAAUAAUCUAGAUGGACAUAUUUGAAGGUCAGAUUAUAUAAACUGUAAUUCAGAUUUUACAUUGCAUAGUGACUUGUUUGCCCUCUGGGGUUUUUUUUAAGAAAAAGAGGAGGGUGGCGGUAGCAGAAAUGUAAUUAUCUCCAACUUUACAAGGGUAAUGGGUCAUUACCAAUCCAUAAUCUGAUUUUAGCUGGGUAGAGUAGAUUGUGAGUUUUUAAUAAUAUGUCUAUCUAGUUUUUACAAUCUACACUAUAAUCUGUCCUGUUUGAAGACAAAAUAGAUUAUAAUAACUGGAUUAUAUAAUCUGAGCGGUUCCAAACAGGGCCUUUGUCAUGUUACGGCUAACAUGACCAAUACUAGGGAGCUUGAUUUUGUAGUGUAUCAGGGCUUCAACUGGUCCUUAGGGUGAGUGAUGGAAAGGGAAGUGACAACUUUGGUUUGGUCAAUAAUCUCAUGUUUCGUGUUUAAUUGCUUUCUUUUCCAGUAGUAUAUGGAGAUUAAUCGUCUGUUUGGUAGCCUGCCUUCAAAGGGGUGUGUCCUAGCAUAGCACGUUCAACGAUAUCUGGCUCUUAAAAUCUUAGAGGUAAGGUCUCCUUAUUAUAAUCGUAGAAAAACAUCAAGAUGCAAAAGGAGGAGCUAGAAAUGACCACUUGGAUGAUCUUUUACGUAACUUUUUUUUUAAU